AUGGCGAUGCAUCCCCAGGUUGCUUUACUCCUCACCCUCAUCCUCCUCCUUGCGGCUGGAGACGGCAGCCUCGCCGUCGGCACUCCAUCGGCGAUCAUCAGAAAGACAUGCACCGCUCUUGACCGACCCGGCGGGAGCGUGGAUUACGACUACUGCGUGGGCGUGCUCUCGGCCGACCCGGCGGGCGCGUCCGCCAAGGACGCACGUCAACUCGCCGUCAUCGCCACCAACCUCACCGUGGCCAACAUCACGUCGACGGUGCUCGUCCUCGAGGACCUCGUCAAUAGCCUCAGCGACUGCCUCCGCAUCUACAGGGAAAUGAACAGGCCCCUGGAGGCCGCGCUCGGUGACCUCCGUGCCGGGCAUGUCAAAGCGGCGAACGACAAACUGAGUCAUGUCUUCGGAGAGCCCGAGCACUGCGACAUGCUCUUGUUCGCGGGGAGCGCCCACAAGAACCCGAUAAGCAAGGAGAACACCGACGCCGAUUUGCUGACCCGACUGGGAUUCGACAUUACUAGCUUGAUUCUUGGUUACAUUCGUUAA
This 543-nucleotide ribosomal RNA is filed under the name Triticum aestivum (bread wheat). RNAcentral describes it as "partial small subunit ribosomal RNA". Lineage: Eukaryota; Viridiplantae; Streptophyta; Magnoliopsida; Poales; Poaceae. The record is from RNAcentral.